CACGUAGGGCGCAAGCGUUGUCCGGAAUUAUUGGGCGUAAAGAGCUCGUAGGCGGUCUGUUACGUCUGCUGUGAAAACCCGGGGCUUAACCCUGGGCUUGCAGUGGAUACGGGUAGACUAGAGGCAGGUAGGGGAGAAUGGAAUUCCCGGUGUAGCGGUGAAAUGCGCAGAUAUCGGGAGGAACACCGGUGGCGAAGGCGGGUCUCUGGGCCGAUAUUGACGCUGAGGAGCGAAAGCGUGGGGAGCGAACAGG
Molecule: ribosomal RNA, 253 nt
Filed under: uncultured bacterium
Lineage: Bacteria
Description: partial 16S ribosomal RNA
Rfam family: Bacterial small subunit ribosomal RNA
Source: RNAcentral